This 1200-nucleotide long non-coding RNA is filed under the name Cyanistes caeruleus (blue tit). Its description in RNAcentral is "lncRNA (ENSCCEG00000004152.1)". The record is from RNAcentral. Lineage: Eukaryota; Metazoa; Chordata; Aves; Passeriformes; Paridae.
UCUCCUUCCACGCUGGGCAGGGACACGUCCAUGUCACCUUUGACUUUGGGGCCCUUCAGGUUCAGGUCGAUGUCGGGCAUGGAGAUCUUGGGGGCCUUGAUGUGCAUCUCAGGCAUCUUGAACUUGGGGCCCUUCAGUUUUCCUUCAGGACCCUCAAUGUCCAGCUCUGGACCUUCAAUGUCCACCUUGGGGCCGGACACAUCCAGGUUUCCUGUUGGGAGGUUCACGUCCACCUCGGGACCUUCUCCCUUCAGCCCAAAUUUGGGCAUCUUGAACUUGGGGAACUUUAUUUUCCCUUCUGGGCCGUGGAUGUCGACGUCGGGUGCCUCAAGGUCCACUUUGGGGCCUUUGAUGUCCAGUUCAGGACCCUUCAGGUCACCUUCCAGCUUUGGGAGGGACACGUCCACAUCACCCUUGACCUUGGGGCCCUUCAGGUUCAGAUCAAAGUCGGGCAUGGAGAUCUUGGGGGCCUUGAUGUUCAUCUCGGGCAUCUUGAACUUGGGGCCUUUGAUCUUCCCAUCGGGACCUUCAAUGUCCACAUCAGGGAGGUCCACAUUGACUUUGGGGCCUUUGAUGUCCAGUUCAGGUCCCUUCAGGUCACCCUCCAGCUUGGGGACAGAGACAUCAACAUCUCCCUUCACUUUGGGGCCUUUGAGGUUCAGGUCGAUGUCGGGCAUGGAGAUCUUGGGGGUCUUGAUGUGCAUCUCGGGCAUCUUGAACUUGGGGCCCUUCAGUUUUGCCUCAGGACACUCCAGCUCAACGUCAGGAAGGUCGACAUCGACUUUGGGGCCUUUGAUGUCCAGUUCAGGACCCUUCAGGUCACCUUCCAGUUUUGGAGCAGAGACAUCGACGUCCCCCUUCAAUUUGGGGCCUUUGAGGUUGAGGUCGAUAUCGGGCAUGGAGAUCUUGGGGGCCUUGAUGUGCAUCUCGGGCAUCUUGAACUUGGGGCCUUUGAUCUUCCCCUCGGGACACUCCAAAUCCAUGUCAGGAAGGUCCACAUUGACUUUGGGGCCUUUGAUGUCGAUGUCUGGGGCUUUGAGGUCCCCCUCAAGCUUUGGAGCAGAGACAUCGAUGUCCCCCUUCAAUUUGGGACCUUUCAGGUUGAAGUCAACGUCGGGCAUGGAGAUCUUGGGGGCCUUGAUGUGCAUCUCGGGCAUUUUAAACUUGGGGCCUUUGAUCUUCCCCUCGGGACCCUCAAUG